AGUGGAUGGGGAGCAACCUAGUUGUGCGUGUGUAAAGGUAGUGCCAAGAAAAGCGAUGAUCAUGUUGAAAAUCAAUUCCCGGUACCCGAAACCGACACAGGUGGGCAAGUAGAGAAUACUAAGGGGCGCGAGGUAACUCUCUCCAAGGAACUCGGCAAAAUGACCCCGUAACUUAGGGAGAAGGGGUGCCACCGAGAGGUGGUCGCAGUGAAGAGGCCCAGGCGACUGUUUAGCAAAAACAUAGGUCUCUGCAAACUCGAAAGAGGAGGUAUAGGGGCUGACGCCUGCCCAGUGCCGGAAGGUUAAAGAAGUUGGUCAGUUUUAGGAUGAAGCUAGCGACUGAAGCCCCGGUGAACGGCGGCCGUAACUAUAACGGUCCUAAGGUAGCGAAAUUCCUUGUCGGGUAAGUUCCGACCCGCACGAAAGGCGUAACGAUCUGGGCGCUGUCUCGGAGAGAGGCUCGGCGAAGUAGGAUUGUCUGUGAAGAUACGGACUACCUGCAUUUGGACAGAAAGACCCUAUGAAGCUUUACUAUAGCUUGGAAUUGUGUUCGGGCUUCCUGUGCGCAGGAUAGGUGGGAGGCGUAGAAGGUAUUCUUGUGGGGAUACUGGAGCCAACGGUGAGAUACCACUCUCAGGAGGCUAGAAUUCUAACUUAAUUAAGGACAGUUUCAGGUGGGUAGUUUGACUGGGGCGGUCGCCUCCAAAAAGGUAACGGAGGCGUACAAAGGUUCCCUCAGACUGGUUGGAAAUCAGUCGAAGAGUGCAAAGGCAGAAGGGAGCUUGACUGCGAGAAGUACAGUUCGAGCAGGGUGGAAACACGGUCUUAGUGAUCCGACGGUGCUGUGUGGAAGGGCCGUCGCUCAACGGAUAAAAGUUACUCUAGGAUAACAGGCUGAUCUCCCCCAAGAGUUCACAUCGACGGGGAGGUUUGGCACCUCGAUGUCGGCUCAUCGCAACCUGGGGCGGAAGUACGUCCCAAGGGUUGGGCUGUUCGCCCAUUAAAGCGGUACGUGAGCUGGGUUCAGAACGUCGUGAGACAGUUCGGUCCAUAUCCGAUGUAGGCGUGAGAAUAUUGAGAGGAGCCUUCCUUAGUACGAGAGGACCGGGAAGGACGCACCGCUGGUGUACCUGUUAUGAUGCCAAUUGUAAACGCAGGGUAGCCAAGUGCGGAGAGGAUAACCGCUGAAAGCAUCUAAGUGGGAAGCCCACCUCAAGAUGAGUAUUCUGGUGUAAGGUCACGGGAAGACGACCCGUAAAUAGGCACGAGGUGGAAGUGCAGAGAUGUAUGAAGCCGAAGUGUACUAAUAGACCGUCGGCUUGAC
RNAcentral lists this ribosomal RNA (1324 nucleotides) under metagenome. RNAcentral describes it as "bacterial LSU rRNA". It matches the Rfam family "Bacterial large subunit ribosomal RNA", at positions 1561 to 2925 of the family's 2925-position model. The record is from RNAcentral.